AGAACGAUUGCAGCGCCGACACUUCCAGUCGUGAUCCCCGCCUCCCCGCAACCAACAUGCACCUUGCCAUCGUGUGACAAGGCCUUUUCGCUUAUCAAUCGGCAUUGCCCGUAUACGUGUGCUUAUGCCGUGACCGCGGGUACAUCUUGCCGCGGCUAUGCCACAGUCCUACAAUGGCGACGGGCCGGAACGAUUUCCACGCAGUAAAGGAAAAUAGUCACCCUACACCUUCAGUGACGGCCAUGUCGGUGAACAUGAUGGCCUCCAGCAUGCUUCUCAACUUCGACGAAGGCAUAGUGCCUUCUUCCUCUUUUAAUUGCAGUGCUCACGAUACACGAGAGCGGGUGGCGCGCACUCGCGAGGACACCCGCGAGCGAGUUCAGCGAGCCGUCGUUCUCAAUUGUGGAUUGCGGAGGCCUCGAAGAAAGACUCCAGAUGAGAGGGCACGUAGUGGUUUCACGUCACGCCAUGGUUUUCAGUCAUCUCCGAGCGCCCGAGUGGAUGGCCACGCGAGAUCGAGCUGGGCUUCAACGCAACAGAUCUCAAGCACACCUUCGGGUCCAGUUCACCCUUCUGCGAAAGUGGUCACAGGCAGCAGGUCUACAGCCUCUAGGGGAGCUCGCGGUGCGGUCCUGCCAUGGCCAGUACUUCCAGUCGAUUCCUACAGCUCUUCCAACGACGAUCGCGCCUGUUCUCGAAGACGGCGUGACGCCUUUCAAGAUCUCGUCAUGCCGCAGCAUCGAUCGGGAUGCGACCUCGGACGAGCAGCUCGCGGCACUCACUAUCCCACCGCUGGUCGCGCAGCCACCGCUGUCAGGUGACACGGCGCUGUCUUGGCGUGCCUUCUGGUGACACGUCAGCGGUGUCUGCGCGCUGCGUGACCGGUCCGAGGCGCUGUUCUGCUGCGGACGUCGUCUGGAAGGCGGGAUCGCGCAGCAGCCCUCUACCCGCUCCGGCCCCUCAUCUCGACUCCGGCGGCAGAUGCGUCAAAAGCUGCAUUUUGACGACACCUAAUGGUGUCGAGGCUGGUCACCCAGGUGACUGCAUUCAUAGGCGUACCGCCAUAUCAUUCAUAAACUAUGGCACACCCAUCAGGGCGAAAUAAACGUGCA
This is an RNA transcript of Dermacentor andersoni, 1112 nucleotides long. RefSeq lists it as uncharacterized. The record is from RefSeq and is a predicted model, not a curated record. NCBI's taxonomy places the organism in Eukaryota, Metazoa, Arthropoda, Arachnida, Ixodida, Ixodidae.